GGGGAUGUAGCUCAGUAGUAGAGUGCUUGCCUAACAUGCAGGAGGCCCUGGUUUCCAUCCCCA
RNAcentral lists this transfer RNA (63 nucleotides) under Fukomys damarensis (Damara mole-rat). It matches the Rfam family "tRNA". Rfam says of the family: Transfer RNA (tRNA) molecules are approximately 80 nucleotides in length. The record is from Rfam by way of RNAcentral. Lineage: Eukaryota; Metazoa; Chordata; Mammalia; Rodentia; Bathyergidae.